UCCUUGAGGGAUAGCUCAGUCGGUAGAGAAUGAGACUGUUAAUCUCAGGCUUGUGGGUUCGAGCCACACAUUGAGUGAA
Molecule: non-coding RNA, 79 nt
Organism: Podarcis lilfordi (Lilford's wall lizard)
Lineage: Eukaryota; Metazoa; Chordata; Lepidosauria; Squamata; Lacertidae
Source: the annotation of a GenBank genome assembly